This 301-nucleotide ribosomal RNA is filed under the name uncultured bacterium. RNAcentral describes it as "partial 16S ribosomal RNA". It matches the Rfam family "Bacterial small subunit ribosomal RNA", at positions 509 to 807 of the family's 1533-position model. The record is from RNAcentral.
CAGCAGCCACGGUAAUACGAAGGGGGCUAGCGUUGCUCGGAAUGACUGGGCGUAAAGGGCGCGUAGGCGGUUUUGACAGUCAGAUGUGAAAUUCCUGGGCUUAACCUCGGAAUUGCCUUUGAUACUGGGUGUCUUGAGUAUGAGAGAGGUAUGUGGAACUCCGAGUGUAGAGGUGAAAUUCGUAGGUAUUCGGAAGAACACCAGUGGCGAAGGCGACAUACUGGCUCAUUACUGACGCUGAGGCUCGAAAGCGUGGGGAGCAAACAGGAUUAGAGACCCCCGUAGUCCCUGUCUCUUAUAC